RNAcentral lists this ribosomal RNA (636 nucleotides) under uncultured bacterium. Its description in RNAcentral is "bacterial SSU rRNA". It matches the Rfam family "Bacterial small subunit ribosomal RNA", at positions 202 to 838 of the family's 1533-position model. The record is from RNAcentral.
UAAAGAUCCGUCGGAUGAGGAUAGGCUCGCGUGACAUUAGCUAGACGGCGGGGUAACGGCCCACCGUGGCGACGAUGUCUAGGGGUUCUGAGAGGAAGGUCCCCCACACUGGAACUGAGACGCGGUCCAGACUCCUACGGGAGGCAGCAGUGAGGAAUAUUGGUCAAUGGCCGGAAGGCUGAACCAGCCAUGCCGCGUGAAGGUCAGUGCCCUAUGGGCGUUAAACUUCUUUUGUGCGGGAGCAAUAAGGGCCACGCGUGGCCUGACGAGAGUACCGUACGAAUAAGCAUCGGCUAACUCCGUGCCAGCAGCCGCGGUAAUACGGGGGAUGCAAGCGUUAUCCGGAUUUAUUGGGUUUAAAGGGUGCGUAGGCUGUGAGGUAAGUCAGCGGUGAAAUGCCCCCGCUCAACGGGGUGAAGUGCCAUUGAUACUGCCUUGCUGGAAUGCGGAUGCCGUGGGAGGAAUGUGUGGUGUAGCGGUGAAAUGCAUAGAUAUCACACAGAACACCGAUUGCGAAGGCAUCUCACGAAUCCGCGAUUGACGCUGAUGCACGAAAGCGUGGGUAUCAAACAGGAUUAGAUACCCUGGUAGUCCACGCUGUAAACGAUGAUGACUAACCGUCGGCGAUACACAGUC